CAGGUACUUGAAAUUCUUUCAUAUUACUCACGAACAAUUAAAUUAUCACUUCUCCAAUCAAUUGCAUUAUUGUUCAUCUUUAGCUUCAUUAUUCUUUUUCUGUCAUAGUCUUUAUCCUGGGGAAAAUAUUCUGAGGCAUCUUUUUAUAAUUCUUUUUUUCAGUAAAUCAUUGUUUCGAUGCCUAACAAAAUGGCAUAGGCAUGAAUGAGCUAACACUGAUAUAAGAAAUUUAGAAUGAUGGUUUGUUCCAUCUGAAAUCCUAUUCUGCUUGCAGAAAUUCCACUAGCAUGUGCCAAAUGCCAGAUGUCAAAAAUGCUUUUAUCCUGCAGUCCUCAACUUCCGUACUAAGCUGCAAUUCGCAUUAGUAAUGAUUUGCCAUGAAGUAACUUUCCAAUCCGUUUGAACCUGGGGGAAAACUGUAUUACUUUUUGCAGACCAUAUCUGUUACACUUGUUGCAGCCAAAGCUAAACAUCUCACCUUUCUAUGCUGCCAUUGUUGUUGCAAAAUUUGGUCAUCUAUUGAAUUUAGUCACUGGUUGAAUUUAAAAGAAAACCAUGCCUACUGGUUGAAUCCCACACCAAUUCUGACCACAACACGUAUGAUGUCAGUCUUUGAAAAUCUGCACGCACUUAGAAUUGACAAGAUUCCUUCCUAGUUGGCAUCUGAACUGUCUCAUUUUAUCAUCAUAGAUAGCUUAAUUUAUUCAAUUAAUUGGCUAACGGGUUGAAAAUGCAAGUCAUUCACCGUGGGUAAUCUCCAUCUCCCAUUACUCUAGAAUCACAAACUUUGGCAUGUAGAGAGAUCAGUUUCAUCAUAUAAUCAACCCCAAGCAACCAAUCAUGCAAGUAAAUUUUUCUGGUUUACUAAGAAAAUGCUUGAUCAACUUCUCUUUAUUAAUCCUCAACUCCAAUAAUUUACCAAAUCCAGCUUCAAUCCUAUAGAAAUGUGAACCCCGAAUCUUCUUAUUCUUUGAAAAUCCAAAUGCUUUUCUUCUUAAGCUUUGUGUUAAGCAUCUAUUGCACCCUAAGUUUUGCCUUGAUGUGCUAGUAUGUUUUACAUGCUAGCCUUAUUUCAUAUUUGUACGCAUUCAAACUGCUACUCAUCCUAGUUUUAUUGCAACAGGACACUCUAGGCUACAUAACCUACUUCUUUUGUUGAGUCUGGACCUUCCCGGAGAAACUUUCUACAGCUCUACUCCUCAAAUAGUAGCUAUGGAGAUAAUAAACACUGCUCAAAUAUAUGUGCAUGCUUGCUGAAACUGAUUGCUCAUCCUGCACUUUCCUAGCAUCAAACAAGAAUUUAGCUAUUCAAUAUUCAGUUCUUUACCAAAAUGUGGCAGUUUUUGGAAAACUUGCUUGAAGCAAGAGGAACUCGUAGGAAUUCAACAGUUAGCUUCCCUUGAAGAAUAUCAUGAUUUGUUCUAUUAGUAUCAGUUGUCUCCUGUUAAAAAUUGGCUUUUAGUAAAAUUAGCACUAGAGAAAUCUGAUAGAAAUCUUCAAGGGCAACUUUUGAUUGUUUCACAGACCUCCCCAUUGCAAAAAGCAAUUUACCAUCUGCAUAUAUUAUGUGUUUUGGCCCAAGGAUGGAAGUGAAAGUCCAAAAACUACUUACCUUCUUAAUGCAUCUAGAGGAGUACUUCUUGGCAAUUGUGAAGAAAUAAGAACUAGUCUCCUGGCUUCAACUCUCAGCUUCUAGAAAUGUAAUCAAAUAGGUAACCACUCACAAAGAUGAAGAAUUUAGAAGUGGUGACGCAAGGCAUUAUUGAUGUCAUAAAGAGGGAAGUGUUGGGCACGAAGCAUCUCUUCUAGAAACUCUUCUCUAUUUGUCUCAUAGGCUUUUCUGAGAGGCUCUAAUCUUAUAUUAUACUGAAAUAAUUAUUAUGAUGAUAGUUACGAAAUAGAUUUGUCUGCUAGCAAGUUUUAUCUGAUAUCCUUAUUUCAACUUGAGUUUUUUUAGUGAGAUUAGGAAACAUAUUUGAUCUUUCAGUAGACUUUGAAAGUGCACUUAAAAAGUAUUUCACAACAUAAUAUAGACCAAAAAUCAUUCGUACUGGAAAGCAAUCACAUUUAGGAACAAGUUUAAUAGAACUGCUGUUUAUUUAAUUAAUUAAUUAUUUAUUUAUUUAUUUCUCAAAACCUAAAUUGAUAGAAAGAAAUUCUUGAUAGACACAUCUUACUGCUAAUUUUGUUCCUUUUAAGAGUUUAAUUGGAUCAAGGUAGAAGAUUUAGUGUUUUGUUGAUUGCAAUAAAUAUUGGGGGCUUAAAUUCAGGGUUUUUUUUUUUUUUUUAAACUUUUUAGCCUAAUUGGUACAAUGGAACUAGUUAAGGUCAAAAUAGCAUGUAUGAUUUAUUUGUAACUCAAAGGUAACAUGAUGACUAACUAUGUGAUGACAAAUGAAGCAUAACAUCACUUAAUAGUAUUAAAAAAUUAUCUCAAAUUUUAAAGACAAAGAAUACAAGAUACUUUACUAGAAGACUUAACUAAAGGCUGAAAAAAACAUUACUUAAGGAAUUAAUUAUAACUAGCCACUCAGCUGAAAAUCAUAACUCAGACUUUCCAAAAUCUCCAGAAAACAUCAAUUAGCAUUAAAGUUGCAUGUGGGCUUAAAACAUGGAAAUCCACUUGCAAAUGCUUUUAUGUUCAAAGGCCACUUCAAAGUCAUCUUUGAACUGAUUCAAUAACUUGUGAAACUUUAAAUAUUCAAAUCAGUGGUCAUGAACAAAUCUGACCUUAAAACAAUUAAACAAUACAAAUGAUCAAUUAACCCAUUUUUCAUAGACUUCUAACCUAUUGAAACCUUGAAAUGGUCAGUAACCUAAGAAAACUUAUCACAAAUCAAGGUCGUAACUUCAAACCACUGAACUCAGCCUUAAAAAGGCAAAACUAAGCUUUAAAAACCAAAAUUUGGUAUUCAAAUGCUAUCUGGAGAAGGAAGAAUGAGUUUCUCUCUUUCUUUCUGAUUUUAGAGUAGUUUGGCUUUAUUUUAAACACUUGGGAUUUGAAUCAGAUAGUAAGGAUGGAUAAACUUUAGACACUUGGCAAUGUGUUGUACAAGCAUAUCUUAUUUAUCAGAUUUAAGUGAUGAAUCAUCAAUCAAAAUGGGUUGGCAGCUAGCACUUAAUGACUGCUUAUAGCAUGAGGUGUUAAAAUUGUAUCAAUCUUGCAAAAUCCUGUAAUGUUUCUGAACCUAUCCCAUAAAUUUCAGUAUUUUCAAGUAAUCACUUCAAUGAUUGGUAAUUUAUAACUUUAGCACAUGAAUGAUCUGCAAUUCAUAAAGUAGUUCCUCAAAGUUUUGCAAUUCAUAAAUUAGCACCUCAAAAUUUUCAUAAUUAUAAAUCUAUAAUGUCGGAUUUUUAGUUGCCACCCUCUACUUGUUUUCCUAUUUCUAAGCCUUACAUCAUAAAGAAAA
Molecule: long non-coding RNA, 3410 nt
Filed under: Durio zibethinus
Lineage: Eukaryota; Viridiplantae; Streptophyta; Magnoliopsida; Malvales; Malvaceae
Description: long non-coding RNA (DZIB_LNC001006)
Source: RNAcentral